This 224-nucleotide ribosomal RNA is filed under the name Lysinibacillus sp. BW-2-10. RNAcentral's name for it is "partial 16S ribosomal RNA". It matches the Rfam family "Bacterial small subunit ribosomal RNA", at positions 1 to 221 of the family's 1533-position model. The record is from RNAcentral. Lineage: Bacteria; Bacillati; Bacillota; Bacilli; Caryophanales; Bacillaceae.
UUUAUGGAGAGUUUGAUCCUGGCUCAGGACGAACGCUGGCGGCGUGCCUAAUACAUGCAAGUCGAGCGAACCUUUAGGAGCUUGCUCCUAAAGGUUAGCGGCGGACGGGUGAGUAACACGUGGGCAACCUGCCCUGUAGUUGGGGAUAACUCCGGGAAACCGGAGCUAAUACCGAAUGAUACAAUUUAACUCCUGUUAGAUUGUUGAAAGAUGGUUUCGGCUAU